RNAcentral lists this ribosomal RNA (1334 nucleotides) under Providencia rettgeri. RNAcentral describes it as "partial 16S ribosomal RNA". It matches the Rfam family "Bacterial small subunit ribosomal RNA". Lineage: Bacteria; Pseudomonadati; Pseudomonadota; Gammaproteobacteria; Enterobacterales; Morganellaceae. The record is from RNAcentral. RNAcentral also lists the same sequence under 1 other name.
GGACGUAAGGGGGGGCCUACCAUGCAAGUCGAGCGGUAACAGGGGAAGCUUGCUUCUCGCUGACGAGCGGCGGACGGGUGAGUAAUGUAUGGGGAUCUGCCCGAUAGAGGGGGAUAACUACUGGAAACGGUAGCUAAUACCGCAUAAUCUCUUAGGAGCAAAGCAGGGGAACUUCGGUCCUUGCGCUAUCGGAUGAACCCAUAUGGGAUAGCUAUGUAGGUGAGUAAUGGCUCACCUAAGCGACCAUCCUGUGGACUGAGGAUGAACCCACUGGACUGAGACACGCCCAGACUCCUACGGGAGGCAGCAGUGGGGAAUAUUGCACAAUGGGCGCAAGCCUGAUGCAGCCAUGCCGCGUGUAUGAAGAAGGCCUAGUGUAAAGUACUUUCAGUCGGGAGAAGGGUUGAUGCUAUAUCAUCAAGAUUGACGUUACGACAGAAGAACACCGGCUACUCGUGCCAGCAGCCGCGUAAUACGGAGGGCAAGCGUUCAUCGGAAAUUACUGGCGUAAGCGACAGCAGGCGGUUGAUUAAGUUAAAUGUAAAUCCCCGGGGCUUACCUGGGAUGGCAUUAACUGGUAGUGAGUUGUAGAGGGGGGGAGGAAUUUCCAUGUGUACGGUGAAAAUGUAAGAUGUGGAGGAAACCGUGGCGAGGCGGCCUCCUGGCAAAGAUGACGGUCAGUCGAAGCGUGGGGAAGCAACAGAUGAUACCCUGUAGUUCCACGCGAAACGAGCGAUUUGAAGUUGUCCUUGAAGAGUGGCUUUGGAGUAGCUUAAAUGACCCUGGGGAACGGCCGCAGUUAAAAUAAGAAAUUGAGGGGGCCGCAACGGUGGGCUGGGUUUAUUGAAUCAACGGAAGACCUUACCCUUUGACCUCCAGAAUUACCAAAAGUUGGUGCCUUGGGAACUUGAGACCAGGUGCUGCAGGUGUGUCACUGUGUUGUGAAAUGUGGGUAAGUCCGACGAGGCCACCCCUUAUUCCUUUUUCCAGCUUGGCUGGGAACUCAGAGACUGCCGUGAUAACGAGGAGUGGGAUGACGUCAGUCAGUCAUGGCCUCUUACGAGUGAGGCUACACCACGUGGCUUACAUGGCGUAUACAAAGAGAGCGAACCUCGCGAGAGAACAACGGAACCUAGAAGAUCGCCUCGUUAUCCGUGGAGUCUGCAACUCGACUCCAUGAAGUCGGAAUCGCUAGUAAUCGUAGAUCAGAAUGCUACGGUGAAUACGUUCCCGGGCCUUGUACACACCGCCCGUCACACCAUGGGAGUGGGUUGCAAAAGAAGUAGGUAGCUUAACCUUCGGGAGGGCGCUUACCACUUUGAUUUCAGUUUUCU